GACGAACGCUGGCGGUGUGCUUAACACAUGCAAGUCGAGCGGUAAGGCCCUUUCGGGGGUACGACGAGCGGCGAACGGGUGAGUAACACGUGGGUGACCUGCCCUCAGCUCUGGGAUAAGCCUGGGAAACUGGGUCUAAUACCGGAUAUGACCUGCUGCUUCAUGGUGGUGGGUGGAAAGUUUUUCGGCNGGGGAGUGGCCCGCGGCUAUCAGCUUGUUGGUGGGGUGAUGGCCUACCAAGGCGACGACGGGUAG
Molecule: ribosomal RNA, 255 nt
Filed under: uncultured bacterium
Lineage: Bacteria
Description: partial 16S ribosomal RNA
Rfam family: Bacterial small subunit ribosomal RNA
Source: RNAcentral